UUGCAUAUGGUGAUAGUCGAUUAUUUGGAGUCGGCUUUCUGCUUCAGAAAACCACCGGUUUGUGAAUUUUCAUACAUGUUUUUAUAGCAGCGUUUUUGCAAAUAUAACAGAGACCACCUUACAUAAUAUACAAUACAUAAACUACAGUUAGACUUCACAGACGAGCAAUUGCUGCGGAAGGUGUGUGUUGAAGAGCUAGGUGGCCCAACUAUUGUGGUUUUUAGAAACGAAAGCACGUAUGCGCGUAUUUCUACCAUUGUCUCAUGUGGUGCUACGGACAAUUUCAUAGGAGACAUGGAGCGUGUUGUGUAUGAUGGUGCAAAUACCUGUUUAACAUGUGAAGGUCAUUAUGUGCUUAGUACUGCUACCUCUGAAAUCAAUUUGACUUCCGAACUGGCUAUCCACGUCGAUACCUUACCCCGUCUAGAACAAUAUGCUGUACGUAGAUGUAUGCGCAACACCUACACGAGCAA
Long non-coding RNA from Anastrepha obliqua, 473 nucleotides. RefSeq lists it as uncharacterized. NCBI's taxonomy places the organism in Eukaryota, Metazoa, Arthropoda, Insecta, Diptera, Tephritidae. The record is from RefSeq and is a predicted model, not a curated record. The transcript has 3 exons.